RNAcentral lists this ribosomal RNA (468 nucleotides) under uncultured bacterium. RNAcentral's name for it is "partial 16S ribosomal RNA". It matches the Rfam family "Bacterial small subunit ribosomal RNA", at positions 28 to 507 of the family's 1533-position model. The record is from RNAcentral.
GACGAACGCUGGCGGCGUGCUUAACACAUGCAAGUCGAACGGAAAGGCCCUGCUUUUGUGGGGUGCUCGAGUGGCGAACGGGUGAGUAACACGUGAGUAACCUGCCCUUGACUUUGGGAUAACUUCAGGAAACUGGGGCUAAUACCGGAUAGGAGCUCCUGCCGCAUGGUGGGGGUUGGAAAGUUUCGGCGGUUGGGGAUGGACUCGCGGCUUAUCAGCUUGUUGGUGGGGUAGUGGCUUACCAAGGCUUUGACGGGUAGCCGGCCUGAGAGGGUGACCGGCCACAUUGGGACUGAGAUACGGCCCAGACUCCUACGGGAGGCAGCAGUGGGGAAUAUUGCACAAUGGGCGGAAGCCUGAUGCAGCAACGCCGCGUGCGGGAUGACGGCCUUCGGGUUGUAAACCGCUUUCGCCUGUGACGAAGCGUGAGUGACGGUAAUGGGUAAAGAAGCACCGGCCAACUACGUG